Molecule: long non-coding RNA, 4793 nt
Organism: Musa acuminata AAA Group (dessert banana)
Lineage: Eukaryota; Viridiplantae; Streptophyta; Magnoliopsida; Zingiberales; Musaceae
Exons: 4
Source: RefSeq, a predicted model, not a curated record
CUACUCCAAUCUCAUAUGUGGCAAAGAAAUCAUAACAUAGAUCUGAUGUGAAAGACCGACAAAUAAAAUGUGUUCUUCAUGUUCGUCAUGCCUGCAUGGGUGAAUCUUUUUGGCUUCUGUUGUUCUACUUCUAUCUGUAGUUCUUACAUGCUAAAUGUUUGUAGGACAUUUUGUACUAUUUUCUAGGCCAUUUUGUUCCUCCUUUUUCUCGCCCCAUUCUGCAUUUUGACUACAAUGUGAAAUGACUACUGUUCACCUUAAAUUCACAUAUAAUUUCAUUUUAGAAUAACUAGCUUUUAGUAUCUGGAUAUAAUCUUACUACCAAAAGUUUUCCCAUUGGUUAACAUAGACUUCAUUUCUCGGUUUCACCAACCAGGUAUAGGAAAAAGGGCAGUUCUUUUUAUUGGUUUUGGCAAUAAAGCUGUUGUGGUGACCAUAGUUGACAUUUAACUUAAUCGAUAGUGUUUUCCAACUAGUUCAUGUCAUUUUUUCCCUCCACUUUCAAGAUUGAGGAAGUUAAUUUUGGUCAUUUUGUCAAAGUUGGAUCAAGGAGCCGACCAAGUUCUUCUUUUUCUGGCUCAGUGUAUCACUUGUUGAGGCUUUCAAUAUGUUUAUCUGUCAUGAAAACCAGUAUCCGGCUUGGCCUGGGAAUGCUACCAGCUGAUCCUUCCACACUUUAGUUAGUGCUUGACUAAGAUGGAGAAAAAACACUUAUAGAGUUAAAUUUCCCUUUCUUAUACUGGAAUUAGUUGAAGGAUCAAAAGAUUGACUUUUUAUGUUAAUUCACGACUGUUGUCACCAAUGAAUGGCUUUGACUAGGGCUAUUGGCCUUGACCAUUUUGAUGUGUCUGAUCGAUGUGGAAUUACCACAGGAUAUUGAUGACCAUGCUGCAAUAUGUCGGUCAGAUGGGACGCAUCUGUGUGCUCUUAUCAAAGGUUCUUUCUGAAGGAGCGGAUAGGAGGCCAACCAACAACAGGAGCAGGCGCAGCUCUGCAUUUUUGUUGAGGAGUAGGAAAUAUCAAGUAAGAAGUGUUAAAACAAAUUACAGAAAGGUAAGAUAGAGGAAAAUGCAAUUGAAUCACGAUGUCCAAGACCAGUCGGUUUCCAUUUCUUUAGCAAGGAGAUCAACAGUAAGACUGCUCUUCCACAACCUACGAUGCUUAUAUUUGGAGUCAGUAUAAAUAAUGUUUUUGCUUGUAAAGGUAAAUUUACUGCAUGUCUUGAUCUUUGUUAGACUUGCAUCCUUUUAUUUAAAUAGCCAUACUUUAUUUAUGAAGAUUUUGAUAAAUGCUAUCAUCUUAUAGAUCUAACUUCAGAUUUAUGCUGGUGAAGAUGAUACUGAAUUCAGUAUUUUUAGAGAGGUUGGACAAAAUAAACAUAGCAAGAACCUUAAAAUUUUGUGAAUGAAAGAGUAAAUUGUAACAGCACAAAAAGAAGAGAAAACUAAAUCUCUUUUGAACUGUAAGUCGGUGGUGUGAAGUACUUAAGCAGCAGCAGGCAGCAGCAGCAGCAGCAGCAAACUUGUAUUAAUUAGGAAGUGUAAAACUAUACCUAGCAGCCAUGGAAAAAUUAGAACCCAAAAUAUAAGGGAAAAAAAGAUAGAUAUGCUGCAUGAAAUACUUAAUUUUGCAACUGGGAACACUGUUUAGUAAAAUUAUUAACCCCAGUUCUAUCAGACAAUAAAGACAGGCCAUCCAGCUGGGCUGGGCAUUUAAAGUCACAGUGAGCACGAUAUCGAGACAAGAGACAUCAAAUAAUGUGCAGAAAAAGUAGCAGAUACAUUGAUGACACACAAACAAAUGCAAGCCCGAAUGAGAUCAUGGCACAUGCCAAUCAUGGUUACCUUGUCUGGGAGCUGGUGUUGGGUCCAGCUGCACCUCCGGGAGCAGCAUGGCUUUGCUGCAGAUCAGCCUUCCCACCAGCCCAAACUGCCUUGUGUGGCCAUUCAUUCCCAGACUCUGCUCUGCUCUGCAACUGGAGGAACCCAGCCUGCUGCUCUUGCUGAGGACCUGAAAAGGGAAGAAUAUGGUGUAGGAGUAGAUAAAUCCCAGGAAGACAUGCAUGACCUUUGGCGCUUGAAAAAAUAUAGUACCUUCUGAUUUGGACUCUGCAGAUUCGAAGAGCCGUCUUCUGGCUCCAGUACAGGUGGUGGUGGUGGUGGUCUUUGAAGCCUUGGAGAAGAAAUCAAGACAGAGAACAGCAGCAGCCGCUUCUUCUCCUCCUCCUACUCCAGGGAGCCCAAGCUUCAGCUCCAACUUUUUGUCUUCCGAGUCAUCUAAGCCGCCGACUCCUCUUCCUCCUCCUGAUGCCUCUGGCGCCAUCAUCCAGUCGCUCUCAUUUGGAAUCAGAUCGAGCAGCUGAGGACAUGCACCUCCUCUGUUCUCGAGAUCUUCUUCCAUGGCAAGUUCAAAAGUCGAGGAUGAACGACCAGCAGCUUCCUGUUUCAACGCUCAAGUUGGGAGAAAGCGUCAAAGAUGAAAUUUUUUUUUAUGGACAAAAGCAGUCGCCUCUUCGGAAACAUUAUCACCUACAACCAUGCUAGCCAAAAUGAAAGACUAGAAGAAGAAGAAGAAGAAGAAGAAGAAGAUCAGCCGUAUCAGCAUAGUUGAUCAAGAAGAGGGGAAGGAGACGACACACGGCUAACCCACCUGCACUCGAGUUCCGGGACGAGAAGUAGGAUCAGAGGAAGGCGGAGGAAGGAAAGCUCUGCUCGCUCCAGCCACUGAGGAAGCCAAAUCCUCAAAACCAAAUCUUGGAGGGAGAAUUAGGCCAAAAACCACUCAGUAAAUAAUGAAAAAGGCUUCUUUUUUCACCUACACUCCUCUUCUCAUCCAUCCUUUUUCUCUGUCUUGUAGGAGAAGUGGUGCUUAAAAAGGGUACAGCGGCAGGGAUUCCAUGGCUGGGAAAGGAGCCCGAAAAAGGGACAGUGGGAUCGAGGCAUUCCCAUCCCAUCUCUACUCCUGCACGCUAACCCAAGCAGGUGGAACAGGGACGUGACACUCUCUCUCUACAGUCAUAUUCGUAUUGUUCCCUCCCUAAGAAAAAUUGCAGAAAAGAACAAAAGCUAUACACUGUAGCAGCCAUGAGCCAUACACAGUAUCGGAUACUCGGAAUUCUUAAUACACUGGUCAAUCAGAAUUCGGCUGGUUGCUUACGCCUAACAAAGUGGGAGGGGGUAAUGAUUGGAUCAGUGGUCCUUUUAACUCUUCUUCUUCCUCUCUUUGUGGCCAACUUAAACUUGGUAUUGUGAUUAUUUCUUUCAAGAUUUUUUGUUGGGUGCUCUUCUCUAACAUCUUUUAUGGAUUAAUCGAUCAGGUUCUUCCUAGAAUUCCAUCCGUCCAUUUGUUCAUGUCAAUCCUUUUCCAUCUCCAUAAUGAAAGUAUCCUCUCUUUUUUUUUUUCUUUUUUUUUUUCGUAAUUUUCUUUUCAUUAUAAAAAAAAUAUUACCAACAUUAUUAUCUAGUCAUUCAACAGUCUUUCCUACUUAGAAGCUUAGGUUUUUAACUCAUAAUCGAAAAUUAUACUUAAUCAAUCAUACAUUAGAUGAGAUGAGAUUCAAUUUGGUGGUGACUUUAUACAUACAUACUUUUAAUGUGCUUCUAGCUUUGUUCAUCCAUGAUAACUUUUCCUGUUUAAUAUUGAAUCAGUUCUGAUUACCAAUUAAUCAUGUUCUGAUCCAAUGACAAAAACAUUUAUUUAUUUCAUGGAUCUAAACUAUUGGCAUUAAUACGACUUUUAUCUUAUACUACACGUAAUCAUAUCCAUCCAUGCUCUCAAAUAAUAUAAGAAAACAGUAGCAAAGAGAAAACAGAUCAUAAUUCUGAAUUUUGUGACCAUGAGGUUUUGUAGGCGGAUCAACAGUCCAUGGAAGCUGGAAAGAUGCACACAAUCAUCACCGAAUCUCUCUCUCUCUCUUUCUCUCUCUCUCUCUCUCUCUUUCUCUCUCUCUCUCUGUGUUGGUAGUACUGUGACAUUACCAAAUACAUGAAAAUAUUUUCUGAAAAUGAAUGAAGCCUGCAGAGUGAGUGAUACUAAUGUAGGCUAUGAGCUAAGCCUAAUGUCACGCAGCACAACACAAGGGAAAUGUGACAGCAGUAGUUGGGGACCUCACAAGAGGAGGAGGAGGAGAUGGCUGUGGCAGGCAUCAUGAUCACAGUUCCUGUGGAAAAAGCUGGUGGCUCGCUGGAGGGAACUGAAGAGGAGCUCCGGAAAAGCACUCGAUUCAAUGCAUCGGGAGGGCGGGCGGGCUGUAGGCGGCGGUGGGCGCCCGAGGCGGUCCACCCUCGCGUGCUUAGGCCACGGGCGUGCCUCGCAAAGUCUAUGGUCAAGGCUCACUCUCCGUGUGGUGGUCGAUCUGCUCUGGUCCCCCAACUGUUUGACAAAAUGCCUGUGUGUGCCAUAAAUUGUAACUUGUCACGAGGGGCGUUUAACCUUCAUCCGUCUCCUCCUCAGGACCAGAAGCAUCUAUAUCAUCAUCAUCAGCAGCAGCAGCAGCAGCAGCAGCAUCAGCAUCAGCAAAUUGGCACAUGAAUGAAUGAGAGGAUAACUCAGCACUUAUGCAGUGAAUUGCCUGGAGAAUUCAAAGCACGGUCACAAUUUAACUUGACGGUUCCCCUUCAAAUGCAUCCGAAGCUACUGAAGUUAUCUUGGAACAAAACUAUCUCUGCAGGAACCCCAUAGCUUGAUAGACAUUAUUGAGAGUGGUUUCUGCUAUAUCGGCUGCUUUUCUAGCCCCCUCUGACAAAAUCUGAUCCAGAUAUGCUGGAUCAGAGGUGAUCUCCGAGUACCGAGCC